UUCGUUAUCAGUUAGAUAAUAAAAUGGAUCGAUGGCGAUGACAUGUGCACCGGCCACAGAGAAAUGUCAAACUCAAAGAUUUGUUGAUUUACCAAAGCAAAGCAAAAACAGAAGUGUUGAACCUGCUGAACCUAAAUUAUACAUAAUAAUAUUGUACUACGGUUAGUUUUCUACGUCUCAGUGUUUUAUCUUCACCUCUCAAACUUUUUAAUUUCGCGUAAAAAUACUAAAUAUCAAGAAAUAUUAACACUCUUCAUAGAAACGGUUUUGUUUGGAAUUUGAAGACUUGCAUCAGAAGAUUUACGCUAAAUAAUGGCAGCAGAACAAAAUGUAUUGUCGGAGGAUAGAAAAAUAUGUCGCAUCUGUUUACGCAUGGAUCCACGAGCCCUGGACAUGUUCAAUAGUUAUUAUGAAGAGAGGGAUACUUUAUAUUGUGAUAUGUUGGUAUACUGCAGUAAAGUCUUGGUCAAUAUGAAAGAUGGCUUGCCUCCGUACCUGUGCCGCAAUUGCAUAGCUCAUCUUAUAGAUGCAUACGAGUUCAACUUGGUAUGUGAAGAGACAGAGAAAAACUUUUAUUGGUUGCUCACAGUCAGAUGAUUUGUGGCUGAAGAAGCUGGGGCAAGCUUCGACUGAAUAAAAAAUGGAAUGAGAGAUCUGAAUUCUGGUCUCCGGAAGGAUCCGUGCGAAUGUUAUGGUACUUUUAUUCAAUAAAUAGCUUGGUGUUAUGGUGGCAUAGUUAACAUGCAUAUUCUCAAGUUUUAUCUGUGAAAUUAUAUCUUUACACACUUCCCACAUUUUUAAUAUAGUUAUAAGUGCAAUUUGUAUCAGGAAUAUUAUGUUUACUUAUGAAUGUUUGUAGCAAAUAUUUUAAAAAUAUGUUAUGCCGAUAUUGUUCUUGUUAAGUUAAAAAAUAAUGUAUUAAAAGUUGACUUGUUGAGUACCAUAUAAAAGAAUAAACACGGUAUAGUGAUGAGUGAAAAAACUUUGCACGAAGUAACUAUUAAUAUUGUCAAAAUGCAUUAACCCAUAAUGUGCCGGAACACAGAUCUACAGAAGGCAUAAUGUGUUUUCUAUUAGGCAUUAACAAUAAGAGAUGUGAAGGAAAUGGAAUAAUCUACAAGCUGUAAAGCAGUGAAAACAACUACUGCUCAACAUAUUUAUUGUAAUUGCCAAAAUGUAAAUCUAAGGCAAGUAGGAAUGUUUAUGAUAUUAUUUGUAUUGUUACCAACUAUGGUGAGCAUAAAUUAAAGUUGUCAUGGCAUGUUAUAAUCCUCCAAUGCCGAUUUUGGCUACGGUGAAUGUUUCUACUCGUGUCUAUCAUGGGCUCACAUGCGGUUGGAAAAUCUGGUGUUUUAUAUAGCAUCAGAUGAAAGAAAUGAAAUAAAGAGUGGAAGAUAUUGUGAAGCAGUAACUAGUUACUGCAAAUGUGUUUCAUAUAUUGUUAUGAGACUGCAAAUGUGGUAUCAAUUCGAAGGCUGUUUUUGUAAUUAUUUAUACUUAUUUCUAUUAGCAAGUAGGAAACAUAAAAUCUAUUAUGUUUUAUGUUUAGUUAAUUAUGUAUACAAUUUAUAAAAAUUGUUUUUCAUAUUGUUAUUGUCAAAUGUUAGUUUAUUUUAAAGAUUUGGCGCCAUUUUGUGGGUGUCUCAAUUGUAACUGUAUAUAUUUUAAAUAUUGUAGACUAUAUUAUUGUGUAAAUUUUAUUAAUCGUUUUAAUAGAUAGAGGUAUUUUAAUUUCUACAUUUACACAUGUAUUGUAAAUAAUGUAAUAAAUAGAUAUCUAUUUACAUAUUGGAUCCAACUAUCCAGAUAGAUAGUGGGUUAAUAAUUACUGUUAUAUAAUAUAACAUACUACCUUACGGUACAUACCUAUCUUUUUUGAAUAAAUUGCUUUCUAGAU
Spodoptera frugiperda (fall armyworm) is the source of this 1897-nucleotide long non-coding RNA. RefSeq lists it as uncharacterized. NCBI's taxonomy places the organism in Eukaryota, Metazoa, Arthropoda, Insecta, Lepidoptera, Noctuidae. The transcript has 2 exons. The record is from RefSeq and is a predicted model, not a curated record.